UGAUGAUGAUGAGGGAAAUUUUUUAGUAUACCCUUAAAUCUCUCCCAAGCUUGGUAAAGAUUCUCUCUGUCUUUCAAUCUAAAACUCAAGAUCUUACUCCUUAAGCG
This 107-nucleotide small nucleolar RNA is filed under the name Capsicum annuum. RNAcentral's name for it is "Plant small nucleolar RNA R71". It matches the Rfam family "Plant small nucleolar RNA R71". From Rfam's summary of the family: R71 is a member of the C/D box family of snoRNAs containing the C (UGAUGA) and D (CUGA) box motifs. The record is from Rfam by way of RNAcentral. Lineage: Eukaryota; Viridiplantae; Streptophyta; Magnoliopsida; Solanales; Solanaceae.